AUACCAUGCUGAAAGCACCCGUUCUCGUCCGAUCACCGAAGUUAAGCAUCUUUUGGUACGGUAAAUACUUGGAAAGGUGACCACCUGGGAGCACCAUGUGCCGUUG
Non-coding RNA from Nephila pilipes (giant wood spider), 106 nucleotides. NCBI's taxonomy places the organism in Eukaryota, Metazoa, Arthropoda, Arachnida, Araneae, Nephilidae. The record is from the annotation of a GenBank genome assembly.